This 497-nucleotide ribosomal RNA is filed under the name uncultured bacterium. RNAcentral's name for it is "partial 16S ribosomal RNA". It matches the Rfam family "Bacterial small subunit ribosomal RNA", at positions 28 to 507 of the family's 1533-position model. The record is from RNAcentral.
GAUGAACGCUGGCGGCGUGCCUAAUACAUGCAAGUCGAGCGAACAGACGAGGAUCUUGCUCCUCUGACGUUAGCGGCGGACGGGUGAGUAACACGUGGAUAACCUACCUAUAAGACUGGGAUAACUUCGGGAAACCGGAGCUAAUACCGGAUAAUAUAUUGAACCGCAUGGUUCAAUAGUGAAAGACGGUUUUGCUGUCACUUAUAGAUGGUUCCGCGCCGCAUUAGCUAGUUGGUAAGGUAACGGCUUACCAAGGCAACGAUGCGUAGCCGACCUGAGAGGGUGAUCGGCCACACUGGAACUGAGACACGGUCCAGACUCCUACGGGAGGCAGCAGUAGGGAAUCUUCCGCAAUGGGCGAAAGCUUGACGGAGCAACGCCGCGUGAGUGAUGAAGGUCUUCGGAUCGUAAAACUCUGUUAUUAGGGAAGAACAAAUGUGUAAGUAACUAUGCACGUCUUGACGGUACCUAAUCAGAAAGCCACGGCUAACUACGUG